Molecule: transfer RNA, 60 nt
Filed under: Euaresta aequalis
Lineage: Eukaryota; Metazoa; Arthropoda; Insecta; Diptera; Tephritidae
Description: partial tRNA-Asp
Source: RNAcentral
AAAAAAUUAAACUAUUUAAUUAAUUAAAAUUUAUUUAAAAAUAUAAUAAUAUUAAAUUAU